Molecule: ribosomal RNA, 404 nt
Filed under: Serratia sp. (in: enterobacteria)
Lineage: Bacteria; Pseudomonadati; Pseudomonadota; Gammaproteobacteria; Enterobacterales; Yersiniaceae
Description: bacterial SSU rRNA
Rfam family: Bacterial small subunit ribosomal RNA
Source: RNAcentral
CUUACCUACUCUUGACAUCCAGAGAACUUUCCAGAGAUGGAUUGGUGCCUUCGGGAACUCUGAGACAGGUGCUGCAUGGCUGUCGUCAGCUCGUGUUGUGAAAUGUUGGGUUAAGUCCCGCAACGAGCGCAACCCUUAUCCUUUGUUGCCAGCGGUUCGGCCGGGAACUCAAAGGAGACUGCCAGUGAUAAACUGGAGGAAGGUGGGGAUGACGUCAAGUCAUCAUGGCCCUUACGAGUAGGGCUACACACGUGCUACAAUGGCGUAUACAAAGAGAAGCGACCUCGCGAGAGCAAGCGGACCUCAUAAAGUACGUCGUAGUCCGGAUUGGAGUCUGCAACUCGACUCCAUGAAGUCGGAAUCGCUAGUAAUCGUAGAUCAGAAUGCUACGGUGAAUACGUUUU